RNAcentral lists this ribosomal RNA (588 nucleotides) under uncultured bacterium. RNAcentral's name for it is "partial 16S ribosomal RNA". It matches the Rfam family "Bacterial small subunit ribosomal RNA", at positions 355 to 1375 of the family's 1533-position model. The record is from RNAcentral.
UGGGGAAUCUUCCGCAAUGGACGAAAGUCUGACGGAGCAACGCCGCGUGAGUGAAGAAGGUUUUCGGAUCGUAAAACUCUGUCUUUUGGGGCGAACGUGAGUAUGGUGAACAAUCAUAGUCAGUGACGGUACCAAAGGAGGAAGCCACGGCUAACUACGUGCCAGCAGCCGCGGUAAUACGUAGGUGGCAAGCGUUGUCCGGAAUUAUUGGGCGUAAAGAGCGCGUAGGCGGGAUAGUCAGUCUGUUGUAAAGUGCGGGGCUCAACCCCGUGAUCGCAAUGGAAACAGCUAUUCUUGAGUGCAGGAGAGGAGAGUGGAAUUCCCAGUGUAGCGGUGAAAUGCGUAGAUAUUGGGAGGAACACCAGUGGCGAAGGCGACUUUCUGGACUGUGUCUGACGCUGAGGCGCGAAAGCCAGGGGAGCGAACGGGAUUAGAUACCCCGGUAGUCCUGGCCGUAAACGAUGGGUACUAGGUGUGGGAGGUAUCGACCCCUUCCGUGCCGGAGUUAACGCAAUAAGUACCCCGCCUGGGGAGUACGGUCGCAAGACCUGAAACUCAAAGGAAUUGACGGGGUCAUAGCUGUUUCCU